GGCAGAUUCAGAUCAUUUAAACAUUCAAUAUUAAUAUCACCACAAACUCAAGAUAAGCAGAUGAUCCUGAAGAAGCUUUGACUGUGGGUAUGGCACCUCAGACGUGAGGGCUGCAGGGUAAAGAGUAUGUUUGUUUCUCUUUAGUUUCACGAGGUCCCCUUUUGGGGUAUUCGGCUUUCCAUCGAUGGCAGGUGGUCAGGCAUUAUUAUGGCCAUCAAAACACCCACUUGUUGAUAUUUAUUUAUUUAUUUUCAACAAGUAUCUUUGUUCUCUAAGAAUGGAGUUUCAAAAAGGGUUGUCAAGAUCAAUGUUACUUCACAUGAUGCAGAGGCAGGCUUGAUUCUGGAAUGAUGAAUCCACGGGGUGAUCGCUGUAACUUUCACAGUGCACUACUCAGCAUGUGGUCUUGGUUAUCACUUUGGUGGCUGGAUAGGCCUCUGGCCAUCCUGAAAACAUGUCUGCUAUAAUUAGUGCAUAUUUGAAUCAACAAUUCUUUGGCAUUCUG
Molecule: non-coding RNA, 505 nt
Organism: Pelobates cultripes (western spadefoot toad)
Lineage: Eukaryota; Metazoa; Chordata; Amphibia; Anura; Pelobatidae
Source: the annotation of a GenBank genome assembly